This 980-nucleotide ribosomal RNA is filed under the name Salmonella enterica subsp. enterica serovar Typhimurium. RNAcentral describes it as "partial 23S ribosomal RNA". It matches the Rfam family "Bacterial large subunit ribosomal RNA", at positions 722 to 1616 of the family's 2925-position model. The record is from RNAcentral. Lineage: Bacteria; Pseudomonadati; Pseudomonadota; Gammaproteobacteria; Enterobacterales; Enterobacteriaceae.
CCGGUGAUCUAGCCAUGGGCAGGUUGAAGGUUGGGUAACACUAACUGGAGGACCGAACCGACUAAUGUUGAAAAAUUAGCGGAUGACCUGUGGCUGGGGGUGAAAGGCCAAUCAAACCGGGAGAUAGCUGGUUCUCCCCGAAAGCUAUUUAGGUAGCGCCUCGUGAAUUCAUCUCCGGGGGUAGAGCACUGUUUCGGCUAGGGGGCCAUCCCGGCUUACCAACCCGAUGCAAACUGCGAAUACCGGAGAAUGUUAUCACGGGAGACACACGGCGGGUGCUAACGUCCGUCGUGAAGAGGGAAACAACCCAGACCGCCAGCUAAGGUCCCAAAGUCAUGGUUAAGUGGGAAACGAUGUGGGAAGGCCCAGACAGCCAGGAUGUUGGCUUAGAAGCAGCCAUCAUUUAAAGAAAGCGUAAUAGCUCACUGGUCGAGUCGGCCUGCGCGGAAGAUGUAACGGGGCUAAACCAUGCACCGAAGCUGCGGCAGCGAACGUAUCACCCAAGACAACUUUACGGAGUUGACGAUUGACGGAGCGAAGCGACGUCAAAGCGUUCAUUAAAGUCGAGUUGGCUUAGGGAUACGUUCGUUGGGUAGGGGAGCGUUCUGUAAGCCUGUGAAGGUGUGUCGUGAGGCAUGCUGGAGGUAUCAGAAGUGCGAAUGCUGACAUAAGUAACGAUAAAGCGGGUGAAAAGCCCGCUCGCCGGAAGACCAAGGGUUCCUGUCCAACGUUAAUCGGGGCAGGGUGAGUCGACCCCUAAGGCGAGGCCGAAAGGCGUAGUCGAUGGGAAACGGGUUAAUAUUCCCGUACUUGGUGUUACUGCGAAGGGGGGACGGAGAAGGCUAUGUUGGCCGGGCGACGGUUGUCCCGGUUUAAGCGUGUAGGUGUGUGUUCCAGGUAAAUCCGGUUCACUUUAACACUGAGGCGUGACGACGAGGCACUACGGUGCUGAAGCAACAAAUGCCCUGCUUCCAGGAAAA